GAUGGACGCUGGCGGCGUGCUUAACACAUGCAAGUCGAACGGUGAAGCAGAGCUUGCUCUGUGGAUCAGUGGCGAACGGGUGAGUAACACGUGAGCAACCUGCCCCUGACUCUGGGAUAAGCGCUGGAAACGGCGUCUAAUACUGGAUAUGAGCUGCGACCGCAUGGUCAGCAGUUGGAAAGAUUUUUCGGUCUGGGAUGGGCUCACGGCCUAUCAGCUUGUUGGUGAGGUAAUGGCUCACCAAGGCGUCGACGGGUAGCCGGCCUGAGAGGGUGACCGGCCACACUGGGACUGAGACACGGCCCAGACUCCUACGGGAGGCAGCAGUGGGGAAUAUUGCACAAUGGGCGAAAGCCUGAUGCAGCAACGCCGCGUGAGGGAUGACGGCCUUCGGGUUGUAAACCUCUUUUAGCAGGGAAGAAGCGAAAGUGACGGUACCUGCAGAAAAAACGCCGGCUAACUACGU
Molecule: ribosomal RNA, 466 nt
Filed under: uncultured bacterium
Lineage: Bacteria
Description: partial 16S ribosomal RNA
Rfam family: Bacterial small subunit ribosomal RNA
Source: RNAcentral